RNAcentral lists this ribosomal RNA (726 nucleotides) under Triticum aestivum (bread wheat). RNAcentral describes it as "partial small subunit ribosomal RNA". Lineage: Eukaryota; Viridiplantae; Streptophyta; Magnoliopsida; Poales; Poaceae. The record is from RNAcentral.
AUGCCGGAGGGCGCGACGGCGUUGGAGAUCCCCACCGACCGGCCAGCCUUCUACGAGUGUUUCAAGUCCUUUGGUGUCCCCGCGGCCGCGACCGCGUUCCGCCUGGUGACUCCGCCGACGGAGACACGCGCGUCCCGCCCAGAACGCAUCACCAUCUACAUGCCUCCUCCCCCUCCCGAGAUGGUCUACUUCGCCAAGCGCUUCGCGUACGCCUACAUCGCCCCGCUCGAGCUCCCGCAGAGCUUCGAGCUCCUGCCGCCCGGCCACGGCGCCGACGCGACGGUGCGCUUCCGCACGCCCGACGACCGGGAGGCGGCCAUGCGCCGGCAGCCGUUCGAGCUCGACGGCGCCACCGUGAAGCUGGUGCACGAGGGGGAGACCAGCAACUGCUCCCGCGCCAGGAACGACUACGUCGCCCACGUCGCGCUGCACGACUACCCCGUCGAGCAGCGCACACAGAAGGAGAUCGGCGCCAACUGCGGCAGGUUCGGGUUCGUCCGCGAGAUCGACCCGGCCUGCUUCGCGGCGCCCGACCUCGCCACCGUCCGCGUGGUCCUCCAGCUCGAGGACCCUCGAGAGAUCCCCCGCCACGUCCGGAUCAGGUACCAUGGUGGCUCCACCAGCGUCAUCCCCGUCGAGGUCGUCAGGCUUUGGGACCACGCACACUCCUCCGACGCCCAUGGACAGUACGUUCCUCUCUUCCAGGCCCCGACCGCGGCGGCUUGA